This 728-nucleotide ribosomal RNA is filed under the name uncultured eukaryote. RNAcentral's name for it is "SSU rRNA". It matches the Rfam family "Eukaryotic small subunit ribosomal RNA", at positions 674 to 1426 of the family's 1831-position model. The record is from RNAcentral.
GGCCAUGUUGGUUAACAGAUCCUCAUCUGCUGGACGUCUGGCGAUGAUCUUUAUCGGUUGUCGUCAGUUGCCAGCACGUUUACUUUGAGAAAAUUAGAGUGCUAAAAGCAGGCUCACGCCUAUAUAUAUUGCAUGGAAUAAUGAAAUAAGAUCUCGAUUUUAUUUCGUUGGUUUUAGAAAUUGAGAUAAUGAUUAAUAGGAUCAGAGGGGGGCGUACGUACUGUGGUGUGAGAGGUGAAAUUCUUGGAUCGCCACAGGACGAACAGCAGCGAAGGCGUUCGCCAAGAAUGUUUUCAUUAAUCAAGAACGAAAGUUUGAGGUUCGAAGACGAUUAGAUACCGUCCUAGUUCAAACCAUAAACGUUGCUAACUGUCUUUUAGAUGCGGUUAUUUAUAUGACUCAUCUGGCGGAUCUCGAGAAAUCUAAGUUUUUAGGUUCCGGGGGAAGUAUGGUUGCAAAGCUGAAACUUAAAAGAAUUGACGGAAGGACACACAAGAAGUGGAGCCUGUGGCCUAAUUUGACUCAACACGGGAAACCUUACUCGGCCAGGACACCUUUAGGAUUGACAGAUUGAGAGCUCUUUCUUGAUUAGGUGGGUGGUGGUGCAUGGUCGUUCGUAGUUCGUGGAGCGAUUUGUCUGAUUAAUUUCGAUAACGAACGAGACUCCGGCUUACUAAAUAGUCUAAAGUUCGAAGGGACUUUUCAAGACUUCUUAGCAGGAUAAGUGG